RNAcentral lists this ribosomal RNA (745 nucleotides) under uncultured bacterium. RNAcentral's name for it is "bacterial SSU rRNA". It matches the Rfam family "Bacterial small subunit ribosomal RNA", at positions 33 to 773 of the family's 1533-position model. The record is from RNAcentral.
ACGCUGGCGGCAGGCCUAACACAUGCAAGUCGAGCGGUAGAGAGAAGCUUGCUUCUCUUGAGAGCGGCGGACGGGUGAGUAAUGCCUAGGAAUCUGCCUGGUAGUGGGGGAUAACGUUCGGAAACGGACGCUAAUACCGCAUACGUCCUACGGGAGAAAGCAGGGGACCUUCGGGCCUUGCGCUAUCAGAUGAGCCUAGGUCGGAUUAGCUAGUUGGUGGGGUAAUGGCUCACCAAGGCGACGAUCCGUAACUGGUCUGAGAGGAUGAUCAGUCACACUGGAACUGAGACACGGUCCAGACUCCUACGGGAGGCAGCAGUGGGGAAUAUUGGACAAUGGGCGAAAGCCUGAUCCAGCCAUGCCGCGUGUGUGAAGAAGGUCUUCGGAUUGUAAAGCACUUUAAGUUGGGAGGAAGGGCAGUAAAUUAAUACUUUGCUGUUUUGACGUUACCGACAGAGUAAGCACCGGCUAACUCUGUGCCAGCAGCCGCGGUAAUACAGAGGGUGCAAGCGUUAAUCGGAAUUACUGGGCGUAAAGCGCGCGUAGGUGGUUUGUUAAGUUGGAUGUGAAAUCCCCGGGCUCAACCUGGGUACUGCAUUCAAAACUGACUGACUAGAGUAUGGUAGAGGGUGGUGGAAUUUCCUGUGUAGCGGUGAAAUGCGUAGAUAUAGGAAGGAACACCAGUGGCGAAGGCGACCACCUGGACUAAUACUGACACUGAGGUGCGAAAGCGUGGGGAGCAAAC